GCAUCCAUGGCUGAAUGGUUAAAGCGCCCAACCUAAUAAGAGGAAAGUAGGUUCGAUUCCUGCUGGAUGCA
This 71-nucleotide transfer RNA is filed under the name Brassica oleracea var. italica (broccoli). RNAcentral's name for it is "tRNA-Ile". It matches the Rfam family "tRNA". From Rfam's summary of the family: Transfer RNA (tRNA) molecules are approximately 80 nucleotides in length. The record is from RNAcentral. RNAcentral also lists the same sequence under 1 other name. Lineage: Eukaryota; Viridiplantae; Streptophyta; Magnoliopsida; Brassicales; Brassicaceae.